GACGAACGCUGGCGGCGUACCUAAUACAUGCAAGUAGAACGCUGAAGAGAGGAGCUUGCUCUUCUUGGAUGAGUUGCGAACGGGUGAGUAACGCGUAGGUAACCUGCCUUGUAGCGGGGGAUAACUAUUGGAAACGAUAGCUAAUACCGCAUAACAAUGGAUGACUCAUGUCAUUUAUUUGAAAGGGGCAAAUGCUCCACUACAAGAUGGACCUGCGUUGUAUUAGCUAGUAGGUGAGGUAACGGCUCACCUAGGCGACGAUACAUAGCCGACCUGAGAGGGUGAUCGGCCACACUGGGACUGAGACACGGCCCAGACUCCUACGGGAGGCAGCAGUAGGGAAUCUUCGGCAAUGGGGGCAACCCUGACCGAGCAACGCCGCGUGAGUGAAGAAGGUCUUCGGAUCGUAAAGCUCUGUUGUAAGUCAAGAACGAGUGUGAGAGUGGAAAGUUCACACUGUGACGGUAGCUUACCAGAAAGGGACGGCUAACUACGUGCCAGCAGCCGCGGUAAUACGUAGGUCCCGAGCGUUGUCCGGAUUUAUUGGGCGUAAAGCGAGCGCAGGCGGUUUGAUAAGUCUGAAGUUAAAGGCUGUGGCUCAACCAUAGUUCGCUUUGGAAACUGUCAAACUUGAGUGCAGAAGGGGAGAGUGGAAUUCCAUGUGUAGCGGUGAAAUGCGUAGAUAUAUGGAGGAACACCGGUGGCGAAAGCGGCUCUCUGGUCUGUAACUGACGCUGAGGCUCGAAAGCGUGGGGAGCGAACAGG
RNAcentral lists this ribosomal RNA (765 nucleotides) under uncultured Streptococcus sp. RNAcentral's name for it is "bacterial SSU rRNA". It matches the Rfam family "Bacterial small subunit ribosomal RNA", at positions 28 to 776 of the family's 1533-position model. Lineage: Bacteria; Bacillati; Bacillota; Bacilli; Lactobacillales; Streptococcaceae. The record is from RNAcentral.